Molecule: unclassified non-coding RNA, 351 nt
Filed under: soil metagenome
Description: partial contains 5.8S ribosomal RNA, internal transcribed spacer 2, and large subunit ribosomal RNA
Rfam family: 5.8S ribosomal RNA (bases 1-120)
Source: RNAcentral
GAUGAAGAACGCAGCGAAAUGCGAUAAGUAAUGUGAAUUGCAGAAUUCAGUGAAUCAUCGAAUCUUUGAACGCACAUUGCGCCCGCCAGUAUUCUGGCGGGCAUGCCUGUUCGAGCGUCAUUACAACCCUCAGGCCCCGGGCCUGGCGUUGGGGAUCGGCGGAGCCCCCCGUGGGCACACGCCGUCCCCCAAAUACAGUGGCGGUCCCGCCGCAGCUUCCAUCGCGUAGUAGCUAACACCUCGCGACUGGAGAGCGGCGCGGCCACGCCGUAAAACACCCAACUCUUCUGAAGUUGACCUCGAAUCAGGUAGGAAUACCCGCUGAACUUAAGCAUAUCAAUAAGCGGAGGA